Molecule: ribosomal RNA, 505 nt
Filed under: uncultured bacterium
Lineage: Bacteria
Description: partial 16S ribosomal RNA
Rfam family: Bacterial small subunit ribosomal RNA
Source: RNAcentral
GACGAACGCUGGCGGCGUGCCUAAUACAUGCAAGUAGAACGCACAGUUUAUACCGUAGCUUGCUACACCAUAGACUGUGAGUUGCGAACGGGUGAGUAACGCGUAGGUAACCUGCCUGGUAGCGGGGGAUAACUAUUGGAAACGAUAGCUAAUACCGCAUAAUAUUAAUUAUUGCAUGAUAAUUGAUUGAAAGAUGCAACUGCAUCACUACCAGAUGGACCUGCGUUGUAUUAGCUAGUAGGUGAGGUAACGGCUCACCUAGGCGACGAUACAUAGCCGACCUGUGAGGGUGCUCGGCCACACUGGGACUGAGACACGGCCCAGACUCCUACGGGAGGCAGCAGUAGGGAAUCUUCGGCAAUGGACGAAAGUCUGACCGAGCAACGCCGCGUGAGUGAAGAAGGUUUUCGGAUCGUAAAGCUCUGUUGUAAGAGAAGAACGGGUGUGAGAGUGGAAAGUUCACACUGUGACGGUAUCUUACCAGAAAGGGACGGCUAACUACGUG